ACGGAGGGGGCUAGCGUUGUUCGGAAUUACUGGGCGUAAAGCGCACGUAGGCGGCUACUCAAGUCGGGGGUGAAAGCCCGGGGCUCAACCCCGGAACUGCCCCCGAAACUAGGUAGCUAGAAUCUUGGAGAGGCGAGUGGAAUUCCGAGUGUAGAGGUGAAAUUCGUAGAUAUUCGGAGGAACACCAGUGGCGAAGGCGGCUCACUGGUCCGGUACUGACGCUGAGGUGCGAAAGCGUGGGGAGCAAACAGGA
RNAcentral lists this ribosomal RNA (253 nucleotides) under uncultured prokaryote. RNAcentral describes it as "partial 16S ribosomal RNA". It matches the Rfam family "Bacterial small subunit ribosomal RNA", at positions 525 to 777 of the family's 1533-position model. The record is from RNAcentral.